UUGGAGGGCAAGUCUGGUGCCAGCAGCCGCGGUAAUUCCAGCUCCAAUAGCGUAUAUUAAAGUUGUUGCAGUUAAAAAGCUCGUAGUUGAAUUUCGGGAUCAAUAUAUCGGUCGUGCCUUGGUACGUACUGGUAUCAUUGGUUUCUCCUUUCUGACGAACCAUGAUGUCAUUAAUUUGGUGUUAUGGGAAGUUAGGACUGUUACUUUGAAAAAAUUAGAGUGUUUAAAGCAGGCUCACGCUUGAAUACAUUAGCAUGGAAUAAUGAAAUAGGACGUUCGAACCUAUUUUGUUGGUUUCUAGGAUCAACGUAAUGAUUAAUAGGGAUAGUUGGGGGCAUUAGUAUUCAAUUGUCAGAGGUGAAAUUCUUGGAUUUAUUGAAGACUAACUACUGCGAAAGCAUUUGCCAAGGAUGUUUUCAUUAAUCAAGAACGAAAGUUAGGGGAUCGAAGACGAUCAGAUACCGUCGUAGUCUUAACCAUAAACUAUGCCGACUAGGGAUCGGAUGAUGUUAAUUUUUUAAUGACUCAUUCGGCGCCUUACGGGAAAC
RNAcentral lists this ribosomal RNA (548 nucleotides) under uncultured Glomeromycotina. RNAcentral's name for it is "SSU rRNA". It matches the Rfam family "Eukaryotic small subunit ribosomal RNA", at positions 548 to 1098 of the family's 1831-position model. The record is from RNAcentral. Lineage: Eukaryota; Fungi; Glomeromycota.